GAGUUUGAUCAUGGCUCAGAGUGAACGCUGGCGGCAGGCCUAACACAUGCAAGUCGAGCGGCAGCGCGGGGGCAACCCUGGCGGCGAGCGGCGGACGGGUGAGGAAUGCAUCGGAAUCUACCUCGUUGUGGGGGAUAACCUCGGGAAACCGGGACUAAUACCGCAUACGACCUACGGGUGAAAGUGGGGGACCGCAAGGCCUCACGCGAUGAGAUGAGCCGAUGCCGGAUUAGCUAGUUGGCGGGGUAAGGGCCCACCAAGGCGACGAUCCGUAGCUGGUCUGAGAGGAUGAUCAGCCACACUGGAACUGAGACACGGCCCAGACUCCUACGGGAGGCAGCAGUGGGGAAUAUUGGACAAUGGGCGCAAGCCUGAUCCAGCCAUGCCGCGUGUGUGAAGAAGGCCUCGGUUGUAAGCAC
RNAcentral lists this ribosomal RNA (419 nucleotides) under uncultured Gammaproteobacteria bacterium. Its description in RNAcentral is "bacterial SSU rRNA". It matches the Rfam family "Bacterial small subunit ribosomal RNA", at positions 9 to 433 of the family's 1533-position model. Lineage: Bacteria; Pseudomonadati; Pseudomonadota; Gammaproteobacteria. The record is from RNAcentral.